This is a long non-coding RNA of Cynoglossus semilaevis (tongue sole), 2944 nucleotides long. RefSeq lists it as uncharacterized. Lineage: Eukaryota; Metazoa; Chordata; Actinopteri; Pleuronectiformes; Cynoglossidae. The record is from RefSeq and is a predicted model, not a curated record. The transcript is spliced from 3 exons.
ACGAGCGGUUUUAUUUUGAAAGGUUUCCGCCGCAGUUACGGAGUUUCGCUGUUGUGAAUAAUUGACGCACAUUUAGACGAAGAAACAGUAAAAGGAGUAAAUAAAAAUCGUCGUUCGGUAUUAUUAGCAUUAGAGGCGCAGUGUUAAUAUUUUUGGUUUACAUGUAUCAUUAAAAUGUCAUUUGUUUUUAAGUUACAUAUGUAGUCAACUAACUGCCACUUAAUGAUCGUUAAUUAAGUCCUAAUCAUUGUGCUGCAUUGGCGCCGAUUCCGUGGGUGCUUCGGGGUUCGGGCACCCACGGAGAUUGCCGAAUACCCAGGUGUGCCCACACUUCUCAUUGAUUUGCUAAUGACCACGCCCCACUACCUAUCAACGCUUUGCAUUGUGAUGACAAACAAACUGCCAAAAUGGCUGGGUGGCAACUUGCUGCUAAAACUAGCAUAGUGGUUGAUUUUGCCAACAAAAAUGGAGAAAUGUCCACCGAACACGCAGCGUCGUCCAGUAUCUUGUCAACGACUGCAGUAGUGGUACAGACGUGAGGCAGAAAAAAUGUCGAACUUUUCAAGCUAGCUGAAAAGGCAAAUUUCCAUGGAGAGCCAACGAUGCCCAGAAAACAAGCUUCCAAAGGAAUAUGGCACACUGGACUCCUAAUUCCUUCUUCACCCUCUGCAUCUGAAAACCAAACCUCAGGAACAAUGGAGCUUUCAUUGAGGGCCAGGUCACAAGAAUAAGGUCUACACUGAUCUGAGGUCGGCUCUUUAGCAGCGGGCCCACAGAGGCGCCACUGCACACCCCUCCACAUUAAUGAGGCUGUGAGGAACAGACGGUGACGUUGCAACUGCUCACAGGUCAGAUGUUUAAGUUAGUACGAUUACAGGAAGUGUGACUGGAUCAGGAGGAUCCUCCUCAGUCCAAGACAGAACACUGAACAAACGCUGCUUCAGAAAUGGAACUGGAUAGAGAAAUAAUCGAUUCAGAAUGAUUGCACACAACCCAUGAAUCCAAGAUGGCUGCAGGUCAGACAUGAAACACAACUGAAUAUGAAUUGAACUCCCCAAGGUAUUAGCAUUUAGCUUUCAUUCUCUCAUUCAAUACAAGUUAUUUUUUUUAACAGUUAUCGAGGGCAAAUAAUAUUCAGUGAAUAGAAACUUAAAUCUGAGUUUUGUUUUUUAUGACAAAUUACCUGGAUCAGCUGAUUAGGCUAGAGCUGGCUACGUUUUAUAAAAUAUAAUUUUACUCCUUAUUUGAAAACAACAUAACCAAACAAAAUGUAGCUAAUGCUACUGUGUGCUAAUAAAAAGACUAGAAAAACAUUUGUGACACACCUUUAUUAUAAACUUUACAACAAAGCUGCGCAGCAGUUGAACAAAGGCAUCAGACAUUAGGCCUCUUGGUUUCUUGCGAGGUGUUAAAACUGUCGAUGAAUUGGAGGCAGUUGGGUAAUAGCUCAAGUCGAGUGUGAUUCCUCAUUAGCAUUUAGCGUUGGUGAUUUUAGCAGAUUUAGCAGGGUUUUUUUCUAAGCCUUUCAGGUUGUCAUAUUCCACCAAAAUGGUUUAGUCGUUUCCUUCCUGAUGUUUUUAAAGAAACAUGAGGCAGAAGAUCAGGUAGCUCAGCUUCUUUCACCUCCUCCUGGUCCCCCUCCUGCUUCAUCAUCAUCACCAUCAUCACUUAGCUCCUACUGCUGCUGCUCUGUGGUUUCUGGCUCAGGAGGUUCAGUGCCUGAAUGCUGCUCUUGUUCUCUUGACUUUUCCGAGGAGCGACCCACAUUUUCCCCUCAUUAAAAAAAGAGGAGGAACCAGCCCUUGGAGGAGUCAAGAGUCGGUAUUUCUAAACUUUGACCUCUGAUUAUUUCUGUCGCCAGCUCUGAUUGAAAACAGCUGCUCCACAAAUCAGCACUUUGAAAAAAGGUAAAUAAUCCAGAGUAAGCCUCAACUCAGUAAUAUAUGACCAGUCAUCUCAGGAAUUAUGGGUAAUUUUGGAUCAUUUCCACGCUGCCACAGUUUGGAUCUGUGUUUAAGCUGCAGCAGAAGAACAUUUUUCAGCCACUACGUCAACAUUAACCUUUUUCCAAAGCGUUAAACCAACCAUCAGUUCAGCUGAGGAAGCUAAGUUUGACUUCUGUUUUUGUACAAGAAAGGACUUAUGAUUAUGAAAAGAUGAUUUCUUUUAAUGAGCAUUAAAGAAACAUUUUGGCAUUUUCACUGAUUAUAUUUAUUAUCGGAACAAUGUGGAUUUUAUUUUACCAACUUUUAACUUGGUUUCUGGCUGAAAUCCUACCGUUCACUCUUAGCUAUAGUUGUGCAGAGGUACAUACAAUGUUUGAUUGUUUUGGUUUUGUAUUCAACUAACUUUACCUUUUGUUGUUAUUUUUCUGCCAUAAUCUUAACAUUUUGGUGAUGAUUACAAUUUUUUUACCAACUGUUUGUCUUGCUGUGUUUGCUUUAGCGAUCAGUGGUUGUUUUCAGUCCAGGCUCCUCGGGUGUCCUCUUGUCCUCUCCUCUCCAAAGAUCCAAUGGUCUUCUGACCUGGUUCCUGGUCUGCUAUUCUCUCCACAGAUUUUCUUGAAUAUUGAGGUCAGGACAGCGGGCGGUAUUUACUUCCACAUGUUUUUCACUGCAGGGACAGUGUCCUUUCAUACAUUAGAUCAGAUGGUCUCUGGUCUGUGUCCUCGUCUCUGCAGCAGAGGAUGGACUUGAACCUCACAGUCCAGUCGUUAGCAGAACACUGGAGACUGUUUGUUCAUCAGCUCCAGACUGGACUCAGUCCCGUCACCCCCACGGCACCCUCAACUUUUCACUGGCCCCCGCUGUAAAAACUCUAUGAUUGCACCACUGCCAAACAUACUUCUUGUGUGAUUUUUUUAAAUGUCUCGUAAAGAAUAAUGAAAGUAAAGAACACAGAAGAAGAAGAAGAAGAAUCGAGGGACGCGCCUCUUACCUGCUCA